Molecule: ribosomal RNA, 363 nt
Filed under: uncultured eukaryote
Lineage: Eukaryota
Description: partial 18S ribosomal RNA
Rfam family: Eukaryotic small subunit ribosomal RNA
Source: RNAcentral
CAAUAGCGUAUACUAAUGUUGUUGCAGUUAAAAAGCUCGUAGUUGAACUUCUGGUAGGAGUGUCCCGGCCUUUUUGUUUUUACAAAUUGUAUGCUGUGUGACAUCUCUGGCCAUCCUUCUUCUUUGUUUAAAGAAGAUCUUUCACUGUAAAAAAAUUAGGGUGUUCAAAGCAAAAGUUUCUUUGGAAUAUAUUAGUAUGGGAUGAUAAGAUAGGCUCUAGAUGCUAUUUUGUUGGUUUGCACAUUUAGAGAAUGAUUAACAGGGACAGUUGGGGGUAUUCGUAUUUACAUGUCAGAGGCGAAAUUCUUGGAUUUUGGAAAGACGAACUACUGCGAAAGCAUUUACCAAGGAUGUUUUCAUUAA